RNAcentral lists this small nuclear RNA (325 nucleotides) under Neogale vison (American mink). RNAcentral's name for it is "Neovison vison (American mink) 7SK RNA (ENSNVIG00000021349.1)". It matches the Rfam family "7SK RNA". Rfam says of the family: 7SK was discovered as an abundant small nuclear RNA in the mid-70s but a possible function has only recently been suggested. Lineage: Eukaryota; Metazoa; Chordata; Mammalia; Carnivora; Mustelidae. The record is from RNAcentral.
GGAUGUGAGGGCGAUCUGGCUGCGACAUCUGUCACCCCAUUGAUCACCAGGGUUGAUUCGGCUGAUCUGGCUGGCUAGGCGGGUGUCCCCAUCCUCCCUCGCCGCUCCAUGUGCGUCCCUCCCGAAGCUGCGCGCUCGGUCGAAGAGGACGACCAUCCCCGAUAGAGGAGAGGACCGUUCUUCGAUCAAGGGUAUACGAGUAGCUGCGCUCCCCUGCUAGAACCUCCAAACAAGCUCUCAAGGUCCAGUUGCUAAACACUUGAGAACAUACUCUUACAACUUUUAACAACAGAACAUAGUUUGACCAUAAAUGAAAUCAUCUUGU